UGCUUCUCCACAUCUCUGCCCCUGCUACUUGUCUGGAUGAAUGUGCUUCUUUAAGUCCUUGGUUGCUGGACUUCCAUACAGCUCAAUUUUCUGACGAAUCUGAGUGAUAUUUGUGUUAUAGUCUAAUUGUAAUUUUUGCUAUGCAUGUGUAAGGAGGGGAAAUGG
Long non-coding RNA from Phyllostomus discolor (pale spear-nosed bat), 165 nucleotides. RefSeq lists it as uncharacterized. The record is from RefSeq and is a predicted model, not a curated record. Lineage: Eukaryota; Metazoa; Chordata; Mammalia; Chiroptera; Phyllostomidae. The transcript is spliced from 3 exons.